RNAcentral lists this long non-coding RNA (2930 nucleotides) under Cucumis sativus (cucumber). Its description in RNAcentral is "long non-coding RNA (CSAT_LNC002897)". Lineage: Eukaryota; Viridiplantae; Streptophyta; Magnoliopsida; Cucurbitales; Cucurbitaceae. The record is from RNAcentral.
GAAGUCGAGAGUAAGAGAUGAUUGAAGCAAGAGGAGACGUCUUCCUCGAAUGCGUGAAGACGAGAAAGAGAGAAGGAAGCUAAUUUAGAACCGUGGCGGUUGGGGUGGCGAUUGUCGAGCUUGGAACAGAACUUGUUGAAGGUUUGAAGCACAAGGGGCAUUAUAAAAGCUGCAGAAAUGAAAAGUGGGUUUGUGUUGUUGAUGGUGUUUUUGGUGUCUUAGAGCGUUGAACAAUGGCGGGCUGUGGAGUUCAAAGAGGUUUUAUAGAAGGAAGAAGAAGAAGAAAAGAAGAAAGUUUCAAAUGGAGAAAUCCGCGUGCGCCGUGGCUUAAAGCCCAAGAGAGAGAGUAAGCAAACAUUUUGACUUCCCUUUUCUUAAUCAAUAUUAAAAUUCCAUUUCGCGUCAGGUUUACGAUCAUAACAAUUGCCUUUUUUCCUAUGCACCUUCCUUUUUUCUUCCACUUAUGUUGCUUCAUAUCAUCAAUCAUGAGUUACUUUUAAAAAAUAUGUUUAUUUUAGUUCAUGUCAUUGAUAGUAAUAGUUAGAAUUUUGUAUUUGUACACUGUGUUGACCAAAAUGAAAUUAGUUUGAAAUUUUUUUAAAAAAAUAAAGUAAUUAGAACAAAAACCAUUAGAUUUUUGUCUGUUUUUUUUAUCAUUUGGUCAAACCUGAAUUAGCUAAGGAUAAGAUCAAUAUGCAUAUUUGUUUGUUCUUAGAAAGUUGUAAUUAAUUUUCUUUUAGUCCUUCCAAAGAAACCUCCAAAUAUAAGAGGUUAAAAUAGUAUGUUAAUACAAAUUUAAUUUUUUGGUUAAAAACUUUAAAUAAAUAUUUCAAGAUAAUAUAUAUAUAUAUAGAAGAAAAAAAAAAAGGAAAGUUAUUAGAAAUGAAAACGUAGAAUAAAUAAGGGUGGGAGUAGUUAUAGACUUACACGUCGGACUUACAGCACACCAAAUAAGGAAAAGCUGUGGGCAUCCCCAGUUACACAUUUUACACGUCGGAUUGGACCAACUCAUUUUUUAAUAAAAAAUUGCUCUUCAACUUCAAACAAAACAUAAUUAAUGUCUUUAAUAGAGUUUUCUCAUUUGCAUUCUUCAUAUAAUCUUUCUAGUAUUUUGUUAUGUUGGUUUUUAUUUUCACAAUAAACCAUUUAUUGAUCUAUGUUGUCUUCCUCUUUUGGUUCUUUAUUUUUGUUUCACUUUGAGAUAUAAUUACCAUUUGAUUACUAGUUUCUACUGCAAUUAUAUUAAGAAUUAUUAAAGUGUGAUGUAUAAUGUAAGCAAAAUGUUAAUAUUAAUUUGCUAUAACAUAGGGCAAAUUGGAUGAUCCAUUUAGAAAAAGGAAAAUGUAGAAUGUUAUCUAAAAAAAGGAAUAAAUUUAAUUAUGGAAUGGAGAAAGAGAGGUGUUGAAUAGUGGGGGUCAAUUUAGUCAUUCUAUCUCUCGUCCAACUUUAUAGUCAAAAGCUUAACGUCAUCCAUGUAGUAAUCCGUACUUCAAUCCACAUACAAACGUGGAUUAUUAAUUUGCAUCAAAACCAUAUGCUCAAAUUUAACCAUUUAAUUACCCAUAUGGGGUUCAAACCAAAACAACACAAACCUUCUCUUAAUAAAUUUAAUUUCAUUCAAUAUUUUGUUUGUUUAUCCUUUCUCGUUGUUUCUGUGUAUUCUUUAAAAAAAAUAAAAUGUAUAUUUUUUUAUUUUUAGUGAUUUUGUUAAAUAAAUUUCAAACAGUCGUUAAUUUUUCCUAUUUUUUAGUUCAAUUAUCUAAAUUGGUGAGAUUUUGAAAAUUUUAUACUAAAAGACGAAGAAAUUAAAAUUUAUGUUUUUACGUUGAAACUUCAUACUAUCAAAUCUAAUUUGAUAUUAGAGACAAUGAAACUCAAAAGAGAUAAAAAGAUCAAUUUUUACAUUAAAAAGACUUUAAAAUUUACUCUAUUUAUAAAUUAAUUGGUUUUGAGAUUUAGCCAUGUAAUAUUAUUUAUUUCUUAAAAAAACUCAGUUAAAAUUUGAAAAUUAGAAAAAGUGAUCUGUAAAUAACUCAUGUUAGUUUUUAAAAUUUGUAUCAUGAUAAGAAUUUUUUUUUAAAAAAAAGUUUAAGAUAUAACUAAUAGAGGUAAAGAGAGGGCUUAAGUCAAUUUGAGCCCACUUAAAUAUUUAUGGUAUAUGGUUGGGUGUACAAGUUCUUAAAGUCACAUUUCUAUACCUUCACAUAUGUCAUUGAUGUAAAAUAAGACGUUGAUGUGAAAUAAGAUAUCUUUGUGUAGGGAUGUAAGUUCAACUCGAAUAACCUAACAAUUUGGACUACCCAACUCAUAUAGUUAGUUUAUAAUAUGGGUUAGGUUGAGUUGAAAAUUUUAGUUUUUAUUAAGUUGGAUUUCGGGUUGGAGGUUGAAAAAGUCGGUUCAAUCUAAUCUAACCAUAAAUAAUAUAUAUAAAUAAAAAUAAAGUUAUGAGUGUUGAGUGUUGAGUAAUAAAUUUCGGCCAAUUAAAUCAUGUUACAUCAUCACAACAAAUAUAAUUAUAUUUUAUUGGAUUUUGAUAGUUAAGUUUACUCAAUUCAAGCUCAACAAGUAGAUGAACCCAAGCUCAAUAAAGCAAAUAGGUCUAAGUCCAAACCCAAUAAGGCAAAUGAGUCCAAACCUAAGCCCAACAAACAAAUGGGCCAAAGCCCACCUAAAACCCACAAAAUUUCUCUAUAAAUAGAGACAUUUGUCAUACAUUUGAUGAGGUCUCUUGUUGAAGGAAUAAUUGAAGCUCGGAAGAGAAUCUUCGGAAAGAUUAAAGACUUUGAAGAUCAAACUUUCCUUGAAGAUCAAACUUUCUUUGAAUUUCAGAAAACUGAAGCUACAACAUCCUAUUCGAAAGAAAGCAUCAAAUGAGUAAAUACUAGAGAUUGUAUUCAUAAUAUUCAUCAAUAUACAAAUUUCAAUUCCAC